Molecule: ribosomal RNA, 522 nt
Filed under: uncultured Glomus
Lineage: Eukaryota; Fungi; Glomeromycota; Glomeromycetes; Glomerales; Glomeraceae
Description: SSU rRNA
Rfam family: Eukaryotic small subunit ribosomal RNA
Source: RNAcentral
CGCAGCCGCGGUAAUUCCAGCUCCAAUAGCGUAUAUUAAAGUUGUUGCAGUUAAAAAGCUCGUAGUUGAAUUUCGGGGUCAGCAGGUCGGUCGUGCCACUGGUAUGAACUGGUCUCGCUGAUCCCUCCCUCUUGACGAACUGUGAUGCCAUUAAUUUGGUGUCGUAGGGAAUCAGGACUGUUACUUUGAAAAAAUUAGAGUGUUUAAAGCAGGCUUAAGCUUGAAUACAUUAGCAUGGAAUAAUGAAAUAGGACGUUUGAUCCUAUUUUGUUGGUUUCUAGGAUUGACGUAAUGAUUAAUAGGGAUAGUUGGGGGCAUUAGUAUUCAAUUGUCAGAGGUGAAAUUCUUGGAUUUAUUGAAGACUAACUACUGCGAAAGCAUUUGCCAAGGAUGUUUUCAUUAAUCAAGAACGAAAGUUAGGGGAUCGAAGACGAUCAGAUACCGUCGUAGUCUUAACCAUAAACUAUGCCGACUAGGGAUCGGAUGAUGUUAAUUUUUUAAUGACUCAUUCGGCGCCUUACG